GGGGAUUUAGCUCAGUGGUAGAGCGCUUGCCUAGCAAGCGAAAGGCCCUGGGUUCGGUCCCCAGCCCCU
Molecule: transfer RNA, 69 nt
Filed under: Rattus norvegicus (Norway rat)
Lineage: Eukaryota; Metazoa; Chordata; Mammalia; Rodentia; Muridae
Rfam family: tRNA
About the family: Transfer RNA (tRNA) molecules are approximately 80 nucleotides in length.
Source: Rfam by way of RNAcentral